RNA transcript from Ziziphus jujuba (common jujube), 2985 nucleotides. It is a transcript of the gene named NADH-cytochrome b5 reductase-like protein, with no coding region annotated. The transcript has 5 exons. Lineage: Eukaryota; Viridiplantae; Streptophyta; Magnoliopsida; Rosales; Rhamnaceae. The record is from RefSeq and is a predicted model, not a curated record.
AGAUCUUAGAAAGAUUUAACACAGACUUUCUGUAGCAUAUAUUAAUCUGCACUUUUUGCCCCCAUGGAAAGGGGAAACGAAAAAGCACCAUAGCCGAAAACACUUUUGUAAAUUCAUUGUUGCUGGGCUUAAGCUAUUGUUCUAUUGCUGAUUUCUAACGUGGCCCCAAAAAAUAAAAAUAAAAAAAAUGGCGACAUUCUUUCAGAGACUCUCUAAAGCUACUGCGGUAGCAUUCGCCAAUGCAUUUGGGAGCCAACCCAAGUCCGGUUAUAGAAUUCCUUUCAGAGCACUUGCAGCAGUUUGUGGUGGAAUCUCUUAUCUAUACUAUGUUUCCUCACCUGAUAUGAUUUUCAUUGGAUCACACCGCCAAGUUGGGUUUGGAUAUUGUUUCAUGCCUCCUUACAAGGGCUCCACUGUGACAAGUUGUUGAAGGGAAGCCUAAAUAUAUUGUCUGUCCGUAUGUCUCUUUCUUCAAAUGCACAUGCGGUUUCUUUAAGUAGUUUUUCUCAUUUUUGUACUGGAUUGUUUGAAAUUGUAAAUCAUCAGAAGUUUAGAAAUUUUUUUUUUUUUUUUUUUUUUUUUUGCUCAUAUAUGUGGAGGUUUGUAUUUAUCCUUCUAACAACAUGUUCGUUUUUCAUUAGUUUUAUCUUCAUGCAUGUUCUAUGUUCUUUCAUUAUAAAGUUAUUGGUUAUUGAUUCCACUACAAUGUAUAACUUGAAUCUUUAAGUUGAGAUUAUGAUUUUACUAAACAAGUUGUUGAUUGUUCUCCCCCUUAAUGUCACCUUGUGGAACAAUUUUUUGUUUACAUAUACAGGUACACUACAAUAUCAGAUCCAGAUGCAAAGGGAUAUUUUGACUUAUUAAUUAAGUUGUACCCAGAAGGAAAAAUGAGUCAGCAUUUUGCAAGCUUAAAACCAGGCGAUGUGGUUGAAGUGAAGGGUGUAGAUUUCCCAUCCUGAAUUAUUGGCUGAGGAUAUAUGCGCUGAAUCAUCUUUAUUCAUCAAUCCUGGUCCUAUGUCAAUUGAUUAAGGGGGGAUAAAUCAGAGGUCUAAUGCUGGUUGGGUUUGGUAACUUUAGUUUUAAGGAUCGAAUACACAGGCUUAAAAGAAUGAAUAGGGGUUGUAUAUGUGUUUUUCAAAGCAGUUUUCAUGCAUAUAACUAUAUGAUGCAUCUGGGAGAAUACUAAAGUGGGAGAUUUAUGAUUAAUCUAUUUAACUUGUUUUAAAUAGAUUCAGAACAGUAAUCCUUUGGAUGAGUGUCUGGUAUUCUCGAAGGAAUCUUGUGUUUCCUUAAGUCCUGCCAGCCAUGAAAAAGCAUAAUAGGAAUAGUCUUGUGAUGAUUCUCAAUGGGCUCUUCCUUGCUGCUAUCUGCUUAUUAAUACUAUGUAAUCUUUGACCCUGUUAGAAACUGAGUUAUUGAUUGUCUUGAUUGCAGAUGAGGGUCAUUUUUGGUGUGCUGAAAGUUAACAACGUCCACAGUACUGCAUCUCAGAUUGUCAUAGAGACAAUUUAAUUGGGUUUAUUUUAAUUUUGCAAAACCAAUUGACAAAUCUGACAGAAAGCUUUGGACAUUCUCCCAUGUAAAGUGGAAAAUUUUCAGAUUACUGACUUGCUUGUGAAUAUCAUAAGCAUGUGUUGAAGCCAAAACACUGAAUGCUAACUGAUGAUGAGAAGCAGAAACUUGUAAAGAAAAACAGCAUAGCAGAAAUGCAGGUUAUUGAUUUAAUUAAAGACUACAAAUGUGCAAUUGGAUAGGCUUUUUUUUUCUUUUUCUUUUUUUUUUUUAAUGAAAUAAUUUAUUUUGAUUUCUCUCAAAAAUUAGUUUUCUCAUUUAUAUAUAAGCAUAAUGUAUGGUAUAGCAAAAUGUCAAAACUCAGAUGUAUAUACUUGGACUCCAUGGAUUAAGUGAUGUCUGUCUAAACAAAUUAGAGAUAGUCAAUAGAAACGCAUGCCAUAAGGUUAGGUAGACAUGCAUUUAUUUUGCAACAGCUUUCAAGUGGAGUACUUGUAGGGGGCUCAAUGUUUUUCAUGGAAGUCAUGCUGCAGCUUCUUAGAAAAAGAAGUUGCUAGAUGACAUUAGAGGUUGUAAUUAUGAGUGGGGUCUUUUGCCAUCAUUUGAGCACAAUUGUAAAUCUAUAAUGGCAUUCCGCUGAGCAUGAUCAACUGAUGCAUUGGGUUUGUUAAAUAUGGUAGCUGGACGUAUGUUAAAUUUAUAGUUCGUUUUAUUUUUUUCAUUAUAGUGGGACAUCGAACUAUAUUUUCUUGUAGUAAAAUAUUGGGCUGAAUGAUACUACAUUUGGAUUUAUUAUUAAAGUGUAGUAAUAUUUUCUGAAGGUUUUAAUUAGAUCUGGAUAAAACAAUAUAUCUGCGUACAGUUGUGUUGCAAUGGUGCACAUGCAAAGUCUAGUUGUUUAUUGUGUAACUAAAUUUAAUUUGGCAAAUUUUUGUGGUUAAAUUAAUUGCUAAAAAGACAAUUAUACUUGUACUUCUUUUUCUUAUAUAAAUUUCAUAUUAAUAUUGUUUGGUGUUUUUUUUGUCUAUGAUGUUUGACAAGCGUUCAUAAGAAUUUCUAAUAUUUAGAAUCAAUAGCAUAACUAUAGAUGCACAUGAAAAUAGAGAUACACAAGAUCAUGUACCCCGCCCUCCGGUGGCUUAAAACUUGCAACACUUACACCAAGCAAAUAAUGAGGAUUAUACAACAUGUAUCCAUGUCUGCUUCAUCUUCACUUUGGCUUGAAAAGGUGGUUGAAUUAGUCUAUAUCUUGUCAUUGGUCUUCAACUAUGUUUAAGUUAGGUUUCUAUAGUUGAGAGAAAAUUGAAAGUAGUAUAAGUGGCAGCUAAAAUUUCUGCUGAUCCCAUAUGCCAUACAAAAGGAAAAGUGCUUUAUAGUUGACUAGUCGGUUGCGUAGGCAAAAAGUACAUGUAUUGUAUCAGACAUUUUUUCUGAAAAUAUAAUUCUUAAAUGUACAUUAAGUAGUAGUUUCUA